Bison bison bison is the source of this 152-nucleotide small nucleolar RNA. Lineage: Eukaryota; Metazoa; Chordata; Mammalia; Artiodactyla; Bovidae. The record is from Ensembl.
UUGCCCGAUGAUUAUAAAAAAAAGACGCAUUAUUAAGAGGACUUAAUGCUGGAGUUCUUUAUCUUUACCUUCUUUCUCUCUUUUCUGUACUACUUUUUCUUUCUUUGAAUGUCCAGCGUCCUAUGAGCGAAGAUUAUGAGAUAUGAGGGCAA